GCGCCGCUAGCUCAACUGGCAGAGCAGCUGACUCUUAAUCAGCGGGUUCGGGGUUCGAGUCCCUGGCGGCGCAC
Molecule: transfer RNA, 74 nt
Filed under: Streptoalloteichus tenebrarius
Lineage: Bacteria; Bacillati; Actinomycetota; Actinomycetes; Pseudonocardiales; Pseudonocardiaceae
Also listed under: 12 other names
Description: tRNA-Lys
Rfam family: tRNA
About the family: Transfer RNA (tRNA) molecules are approximately 80 nucleotides in length. Their secondary structure includes four short double-helical elements and three loops (D, anti-codon, and T loops).
Source: RNAcentral